RNAcentral lists this long non-coding RNA (209 nucleotides) under Bos taurus (domestic cattle). Its description in RNAcentral is "long non-coding RNA NONBTAT002969". The record is from RNAcentral. Lineage: Eukaryota; Metazoa; Chordata; Mammalia; Artiodactyla; Bovidae.
GGAAACCUCACAGAUGUCUGUUCAUCUCAGAUUUGAUGGAGCAGCUGGAGGCCACAGGCUCAGGAUGUAAACUUUUCACUUUAUGUGAAGCCCUCUUUUGGUUCAGGUAGCUGCUCCAAUGCUAUACUUCCACCUACUUUAAAAUGAUGUUUACAUCUCUGUUUUUCUUGGGGUAUGCAGAUGAAUAAGCCAAAAUAGGGUAGUUUGCU